This 18-nucleotide small RNA is filed under the name Arabidopsis thaliana (thale cress). Its description in RNAcentral is "ATSL304100". The record is from RNAcentral. Lineage: Eukaryota; Viridiplantae; Streptophyta; Magnoliopsida; Brassicales; Brassicaceae.
UUUUUUUUGUGUGUUUUU